This 1334-nucleotide long non-coding RNA is filed under the name Equus caballus (horse). RNAcentral describes it as "lncRNA (ENSECAG00000042103.2)". Lineage: Eukaryota; Metazoa; Chordata; Mammalia; Perissodactyla; Equidae. The record is from RNAcentral.
AGCUCAGGGCUAAUCUUCCUCACGGAAAAAAAAAAAAGUCCAAGAUUAAAAAUGAAUAGUUUUCACAGUGGAAGGGCCUAGCCAGCCAGAUGAAUAAAGAUUGACACCAAUGUAUGUGAUAAUGAAUGUUCAGAGCACCAAAGAUAAACCGAAGUAUAUAAAGGGUUCAGAGAGAAACAAACCAACUAAAAAUCAACAAAUAAUAAAAAUAGCAUCAUCGAAAAGGAUAAGGGGUAAAAAUGCCAUUGAGCAUCUUGAUAGUAAUGCUAGAAGUCAGAAGCAAUGUGAACAAGGUCUUCAAAAUUGUGAAAGAAAAUUAUUUUUAGCUAGAAUUCUAUCUUGAGUCAAAUUCUAAAUCUAAAAUGAGGGUAGAAUAAAGCCAUAUUCAGAUAUGCAGCAUUUUAAUAAAUUGAUCUUCCAUCCAUUUAUACUGGAAAGCCACUGGGAAAUGUUACAUACCAAAUGUGCUGUAAAUAAGAAAAAAAAAGGACAUAAAUAUCAUGAAACAAUGGAAAUUUGUGAGAGCCAGGAAAUAUUUAAAGAAGGGGCUUUAGAGAAUUCCAUGGAUUAAGGGGUGUGCCAAGAUGCUUGAUGUACAGAAGACAGAGUGGGCAAACAUUCCAAACUCAGAAGGACAGAGGGUUCCACAGCGGAUGCAGAGGCAACAGAGGUAGGGAGAGGGCCAAUGGCUGAUGAUGAUGCGAUGUGCUCAACCCAUGCUGAAGUUUCAGAGCUGCGUUGGUAUCUCAUCAUCCAGGACCUGUCCACAUGGACCUCUCCAUUUACAGAGUAGUCUGGAUUUCCUGCAUGACGUUUCAAAGCUCCAAGAGUGAAGAAAAGGAAGCUACUUUAAUGCUUUCCUUAAUGCCUGGACUCAGAACUUCUAAAACACCACUUCUUCUGCAUUCUAUUUGUCCAGUUAGUCACAAUUCUAGCCUGGAUUAAAGUGGAAAGAUAUAUGUUCCACCUCCUGUAUCACUGGCAAACUGCAGGGGGCAGAAGUUUUGAGACUCUCCACCCUCUGGCUGUAAUAAUUUAUUUCCUUUCAUGCACCGAAAAAUACCCAUUCCCUUACUAGACUCCCAAAAGUAUCACCCCUUUACAUUAUCAGCUUGAAUUGUACCAUUCUCUGCUCUAAAUCAGGACCAUUGCGGAUGAGCCUCCUCUGGUGUGAUUUCUCAGGUUCAUCUCCUUGGAAAUUACUCCUUUUGAGCUGAGGACCUUUGAAAUAGAGACAAGUUUUCUGUACUCCAUUAACCCAACAUACAAUAGUGAUCAAGGACAGAGAAUCUGUAGUUGGUUCUCAUUCAAAUAAGGGGAAGAGAGGAAUAAAU